This is a long non-coding RNA of Alligator mississippiensis (American alligator), 9608 nucleotides long. RefSeq lists it as uncharacterized. NCBI's taxonomy places the organism in Eukaryota, Metazoa, Chordata, Crocodylia, Alligatoridae. The record is from RefSeq and is a predicted model, not a curated record. The transcript has 5 exons.
AGGGGAAGAUGGCGGCGUGAGAGGAGGCGGAGGGGGGAGCCGGGCCGGCUACGGCCCCGGCCGGGGCAGAGAAGGCAGGAAAGUGUGCACGGAUGGACUCGCCAAAGUAGAGGGAUCAUAAGUGUCUGGGACAGCAAUGGCUGGUGCAGCUUUCGCAGCAUCUGAUGAAAUUCAUGUGCAUUCCAUGUAUGUGCCAAUCAGCAAACUGAAGAGAACAGCUGUUGGAGAAAAAUGAUAGUGUGCAAGGCUGUGAAAGUAUGGGUGCCCUCCCAACAGAUUCCUUAAGGACCUACUCCACGAUCUUUCCAGACCUAUUCCUGACAUUCUGGAGGGAGACUGUUCUGUUGCUAUUUCCUGUUAACUGCUCUUAGGUUUUGAAGUGUGGAUGCUCUUCUUCUCACAAAGAAAAUUCUUUUCCUUAUCUUCGUGGAGCUGAAUGAGGGAAGACUUCUUCAUUUCCUGUUUCAACUCUUUAUCCCAACAUUUAAUUCAUGGAUCCCUGUACCAGCUGGCUUCCCCACUGAUGGCACCCAGCCAGCAUCUUGCUGCACCUCAAGCGCAGGGCAAUUGAAAUUAGCAUUUGUUUCCAUGAGAGUUGUCUUCUGUGCCAGCUUUUCACUUUGUUUUGCAUUAUUUUUCACAGCUGAGAAAUGAUUUUUGUAAGUAAAUGCACACGGAAGCCAGUCUUCUUGACUGGUAUCUCUUUUUGUCUUAGGAAGGUAACUUUUCCCACUGCGCCCUACUGGGGAUCCUAAAAAUGGAUUAAGUGUCUGCACAUGUUGCUUUCCCAGCCUGUUUCAACAUGUAUGAAAAGUUGCAGCAGGAAAACCAGGAUACACUUUCCAUCCUGAAGCAUGGAAAAAAAAAUCCUGGAAAUUCCAUAAUGGGAAUUUUUUAACCGAGAACAAAGGCCUGACUUUGUAGAUAGGCAUCUUGAUGUAACCUCAUGUAAAGCAGCUAAUGCACAGGAACAAAUACAAAGUCACCUUGUCCAUCAUUUAUUUCUGAGAGCAGAAAUAUAGCUGCAUGUGUGAAUCCAUGUAAGUGCUGGAUAUGAAGAGCUUUCACUGGGAUAAGAAAGUGAAUAGCUACUUCUCAUUUCUAGCAAGCCCCUUCCCAAGGAAGGUGAAGUUUCAAUGACCUGUAGUACUAAAGAAGAUCCUGUAGAGAUGGGAUCUACAUCAUUUUCCCAGUUUUCUCCAGAAGCUUUAGUGGAAAAGGAACAAAAACAAGAGUUGGACAGAACUGAUCUUUUUAUUAAAGGAACUGACCUCUGGUGGGAUGAGAGGCCAGAAGUGUAAAGCCCCAACUCAUUAGCUUCUUGGUGCCAUUUCAGUUCUUCAUACUGCUGAUGGAGUUGGGUAUUAACUCUUCUGUGGCUAUUGGAGAACUGGGACUGCCACAUUCAUGGGUGGAGGUUGAAAGCAGUCUGAUGGGAAGAACUUGCAGCCACUUGGAGGAACAAGUAAGAGAGAACAAAAAUGCUGAGGAAUGGCUUUUUAGGCUCCUCCUAUCUUUCCCAAACCAGGAGAAGAUCAUAGUUCUUACAUGUUUACAAAAAGUUAUUUGUUUCCAUCACUUGUGAUUAUACAGGAUGUUUUCCUUUCUCUUGAGAUAGGAGUAUAUAUCAUUUAGUUGCUUCUAGUUUCUCUCUGUAGUCAGUGAGGUUUCUUGGUGGAAAGGCCAGAAUUUGGUUCUCUUGUUUUCUUCCAUUUGUAUCUGGAGCUCUUGUUAGUGCACCUUAUUCCAAGCUUAUAUUAAUGUGAAUUUAGCAAAUAUGACUUUAAAAAAAUUAUAUUUUAAAAAUCUGGAACAAAAUGGAUUUAGGUUUUGUUUAUGUUUGGUUUUUUUUGUUCUUUGUUUAGAAAACUGCUGGAUAGAGCCAGAAAGCCUGAAAAUGGCUGGAAAAAAACAACAGCUGAAAUCCUUAUGUUUUGAUGAUAGGUAGCAAAAGUAGCAUUUUUAUAGCUGGUACAGGAAGGAGAGGGAGGAAAGGAGAAUAUCAUAAGAUGUUGUUUCUGAUAUUUAAAUGAGUAAUGGAAUUUAAAGGGAAACAAUUUCCAGAGCAGAACAAACCCUUGUAUGUGUACUGCUCCUAAUCUUCUCUCUUGGGAAUUGAGUUGUGUAGGAAACUUGCAUUGUGACAAUAAGGUUUAAUUACAGGUUUAAUAAUUUUUGUGUUUGCCUAGAGAGAAGAUCAGGUUUACAGGGUAAGGAAUGUCUAGCAGAAUACUCCAUAUUGAAAAUAAUACCAAAUGUAAUGUAGCAGACCAUGAGCACCAAUGUACCAUGAGCUGUGUUUAUCUUCACUUGGAGAAAUUGUCAUAUUAGUCAAGGCUAGUGAAUUAGCCAGCUUGAGCUGGCUUCCUUUAAGGAUGCUGUAGUGGAAUGGAAUAUGGAUGUUCUAGGGUUAAAGACAACUGGAAAAAAAACCCACUUCUUUGGACUGCCUUCUGUGAAAGACAACUGGAUUUUGCAUUGACUUCAGUAGAGGCAGGAUCAGCCUCUUAGUGAGGGGGAAGUACCUGCUAUCGAUAUUACAGUGUUUCAUGCGAUUAGAAGGUAUAUGAUAUGGCAAAUGUAUGUUUAAGUGUGUGGAUUUUCUUCUCUUCCCUAACCGCAUUCAUUAUCCAUCAGACGUAAUAUCUAGAAGCUGUUCCUAGCACUGCGUGACAGCAUAUCGCUUUGGGGAUGGGAGUGUGUCUUUGUAUCCCGUUUAUUGUUAAAAAUGGAAUGUGGCUGUGAAGAAGGUGGACAUAUUUAAAGCUCAUUGGUGCCACACUUUGUAGGAGUAACCUUGGCUAAGCAUUGUAUAGUUCUAGAUUAUACUGAAAAAUUGAAAUGUUGACUUUGCCUCCCCCCCCCCCCCAACCCAUUUGAUUAAGGUAAAUUAUUAAUUGAGCUAAAGUUCUGUGGCUGUCACAGAAGGAACACUCUGGUAGCGUACACUCAAGAGACCCCACUGUAGUACUCUUCCUGCCAGUUUCUUCAUAAAACUGUUGUGAUAGGAAAUGCCGCCUCAGCCUUUUGGCUUUACAUCAUGCUCUGCUUUUUUUUCUCCAUGUUGGUUGGAAAUUGUCUUGUAUGAAAGAUUAAAAAAUAAGGGGCAUGUGCAAUAGAUCAUAUAUCUACACACACACACACACACACACACACGUGCACACACACACAUAUACACACACACAUAUAUAUAUUUUAAUACUUGUGGACAAAAUGAUGUUACAAGUUGUUUGAAAACAACAAAAUCACCAAUGUCUUCCAUUUUGAGAUGUGUAUAGUUCCAUAAGCAUUAGUGCUUUGUAGCAAACUGUAGUGCCAUGUUAGGAUCAGUGCAUGAGCCUAGUAGUAUUUUUACAAUUUCAGAGAGACAAAUUAUUCAUGACAAUAAUAAACAAUAAUGUAAUUAAUAGAAAGGAUACAGUAAAAAUGUCAUGAACAUAAGCUAAAGAUGCAGUAUCCUUCCUUGCCAGUGAUAGUGACAAUUCUAUCUUUGGAAGCAGAUUUUUUUUUUUAUUUGGUGGGUGUCAUGGAAAAUAUGGUUGACUUCUUGUUGCAAGUCUGUCCAAGCUAUACAGUAGACCAGUGAUUCUUGACAGGGGUGCCUUGGCACCCUGAGGUGCUGUGAGCCACUGGGUAACUCCUCUCCCACCCCGCCCACUCCCCUCAGGAGGAGCUAAGGAUGGGCUCCAGUGUAAGGAGGUAAGAUCAUGAAUGUCCCACUGCUCUACAGGGAGCCAAAAGCUCAUUUCCUCUACACAUCCUCUCUCCAUUUAAAUGUUGCAAUAAAUAAAUUAUUGACUUGGGGUACCACUCUAUUCCAAGAAGUUAUGGAGGGAUGCUAAGUUGAGAAUCACUUCAUUGCUGGCAUCCAAACUAGUCAUCUGUCAGGUUAUUGGAGGUGAACUACAUGGCAAAUCCAUGAUGCUUGCUGUAUUGAAUGGCAUGCUAUUUUGUAAUUUUAGAGGGAACUCUUUUAAUCCUGGUCAGCCAUGAACUUCCUCUUCAUGCACCAUACCCAUUGCAUCUGCCAUGCCAAAAAUGUGUACAUCCUAAAGAGACGGCAUAUUUUAUUAGCAGCUCUGUUACCCCUUCUUGGGUAUCGUAAUCUGCUCUAAUUAUUCAUCUGGGUAGUGCAUUUUGCAGAACGAAUAAAAAGUGACAAAGCUAAUGUUUAGUUAAUUAUCAAUAUAGUUAAAUUGUUUUGUGAUACUGUCCGCCCAUUUUGUCUGAGGAUGUUUGUAUGUAUUGCUGAAAAGCCUAGACUGUGGAUUUUUAUAAUUUUUCCAGCUAUGAACUCUUGAUCACACAGUAGUUUGUUUCUUUCUCUCUGUGUACAGUCAGAGAAUGAGAUGUUAAGUUAGGUGAAGUCUAAAUAGUUUAUCAAACAGGUAGCUUAAACCAGUAAAGCAAGAGACAGUGAUUUGUACAUGAUUUUUAUCUGAUUUCCUGAUAUAGCAUUUUAGUUGGUGUCAAUAUUGCUUUUCAACCACCACUGUUUUGAAAAAGAACAAAACUUGGUAUCAGCUUAGAGAGGGAGGAUACUGCAUCUUUUUUCUCGAGUCCUGCAAGUAAAUGGCCACGUUGAGGAGAGAGGAUGGGCAUCUUGUGUUUCUGAGUUGAUCUAAUGUGUGUCUAAAUUAAUUAAAUGGGAAGCAUGCAUGGAGAUGCAAAGCGGGUGAUCCUUGCAGAGGUAAUUUCUGUAACAAAAACUAAAUUCUGCAUAUUCCAUGUCUCCAGAUAAAAUUGGCAAGCAGGCCAUUUACAGCACAGCUCUGGGGAUAUCUGAACAAAAGUAGCUGUACCAUUUAAUCAAGUAGUUUAGUGCUUGGGAGAAUCAAUUGAUGAAAAAUACCUCUGAAACUGGAAUGCAAAUAGCACAGUAUGUGGGAGGUAGGGGGGAAUCCCUAAUGCAAACAAAGCCAUAAAAUAAUUUAAUAAGAAAAUAGAACUUUAGUAGCAAUAAUUGUUUUGCAUGUAAUAGUUACUAACUUGCAUUAGCAAGACUGUACAGUAGAGUAAGUAAGUGGGUAUAACCAAAUAAGUUUGUGGCGUUCUGUGCUGCAGGGGGUUGCACGAAAAGAAAUGUUUCUUCUUAACUAGAUGGGAGAAUUCCUCUUACUGCUCCUAUCAUUGGAAAGUGUUUGGUACUUGCCCGCUUUGGUGAGGAGCCUGAUAUAAAAACCUGGAUAACUGUGUAUCCUGUCUGAACUGGUGCAUACUGGGGAAGAGCAAGCAGUUGUGUGUAAACAAAUGGCUGAUUUUUCCCCAGUUUGCUUAUUUUGUUGGGUAGCAUGUGUUGUGCCUCUGGAGAGGAAACCAAACCCAUUCAGGUGCUGAUGUGAAAAGAACUAGGUUCCAUAGUCAGAAAUCAUGACUUAGAAGCUUUUUUUUUUAAUAGAAAAGGGUUCUGAUAUUUUUGUGGGGAGGUGGGUUGGGAGGUGUGGAGAGAUACCAGGUAGUGAUAUCACAGGUCCCAAAACGAGAAAUUAUUGGGAAACACUUACACUCCAAACCCUUAGACUGCAGGGACAAAACUACAGGAUUUGUCUCUACAAAUUCCUUGUCUUUCUUUUUUCAUUGACCUUUAGCUCUAGACCUGCUAAACACUUCCAUUUUAGGCUGUGGCCAUUUUCUGUUCAUACUUUAAAUUUUGCAAAGCCAGUUGUUUUAGGCAUUCUGAUAAGGCAAAGGGGAAUCGAUAUGUAGUAAAUUGUGCUUGGCAUGGUUUUUACCAUCUGCUAAAGAAGCAUUCAGAAGAGCCCAUGGAGUUUUAAAAUACAGCCCACAGCUGACCUAAUUUUCUUUAUCAAUGCAUAGCUUGCAGAAGUGAUACAGCUCUGCAGGUAAUGCUCUAUCCUGAACUGAAUUAUUAAACCAAAGUGUAUAGUUAUCCAAGUGGCUUGAUUUCUUCAAUCAGGAUUGAAUAUUUUAUACCACAAUCUUUAAUCUAGGGGUGUCUGCAAUUUGCUUCGUUUUUAGUAAGUUAAAUGGAGGCUUUUGACUUCUCACUAGUUGAUAACAUGACCCCUGUUGGGACUAAGUGUGGGUCUCUCCAGUCUCAUUUAAUGUAACCAAGAUGCAUCCAAGAUGAAUGUAAGAAUGUAUAAGUAGGUGCUAGCAAGUAGUACAUAUCUAGUAUUAGUCUUGCAUAUGAAAAUAUCAGUGAUUUUGAAACAUGGUAACAAUUCCAGCCAUUAAAUUAUUGUCAAAAUUAGCAGACCAAAAGGAGAUACCAACUUGAUCAUGUUCUCUACAUAGUAUAGUGUUAUACCAGUCUUUAUAAAUUUAAGGAAAGGAUUGGGAAGUAGACUGUCAUAAUAAUGAAGACACUAAUUUCACUUCUUAGAAAUGUACUUCACUUGACUGGGUAUUAUUAUUCUGCCAUUUCAAUGAAAAGGGUAGGCAGGGGGGUGAGUGAACGAACAUCUGCUUAUUGCUGCCAGUUCAGCCUUUCUGAUGUGCUGUGUUCCAGGGACUAGUAGAGUACAGGUCCAAAGAUUUCUCACAGCAUCCAUUCCUGAAAUCCUGCAGGGCUAAGGCUGCAGAGCUGUGAUAUGAUUUCCCUCCCCCCCCCGCUUUCAUUGCUUACAAAACUAAGCAGAUAUUUCAGACAAUACCCAGUUUAUUUCAAGAUAUCAAACAAGUAACAUCCAUGCUAAUACCAACCUUUUUAGCGGGAUCAAGUCUAUUUUGUAAGUGUGUAGACUGCUUUCUAGUCCAGUAGGGCUGAUGAAGAAGUUCUAGCUAGUACUGUGCUGUGAACUGCAACUAUUGUUGGAGAUGCUUAUCAGUUAAGAACCUUCUCAGCACUAAGGAAUCUUUGCAAUACAAUUUUCUUGAGCAGAGAGCAGUGACACAAGGUUCAGGAGAUAGAUGCUUUAAAUAGGAUUUACCUUGAUUGCAGCAUUGGUAGGGUAUUUUGUGGGAUCUUUUGGAGGUAUUUCUGAGUUGUUAAGGGAAAGCUGGACUUCUGACAGAAUCUGGCACCAUUCUUAAAACCUUUACUUUCAGUAACUUCUGUCAACCAGAGAUGGAGACUGGUUGAGUUUUUCUUCAAAGCCUGCUGAUAGAGCUCUUUACUUAAACAGAAGGCUAUAUGAUGGGCAGUUCAAAGUUAACUCUUUGUUCUGAUGGUUCAGGAUACCACUUCCAUAGUACUCCCGAGACUAAAGCACAGAGCCAGCAAUGGAACUUGGUUAUCUUGUUCUAUGCUGCUACUAUCCAUAGACUUCCCUGACAUACACACAGUUUCCUUCACUUCUCUUUGCAUUUCCUCCUGAUUCAUGUCUUUAGAAAAAAAUGUAUGUAAGCAAAGGAAACAUGUCACUUCUCUUACAUACCAAGUCACAGUACAGUUGGAUUUUCUGAGGCUUGCCCAUUAUCUUUGGUAAUCACGUUUUAACUUUCUCUUACUUGUGUCCUAUGUAAAUUCUGCUCUCUCCCCAAACUAAGUAUGUGUUUGCAGGUCAACUAAAAGAAGGCUGGUUUGUGAAGCCAGAUGCAUAGUGAACUGCAUGGACAAGCUGAAGAGUGGCAGCACAGGCCCACAAACCAAGUCUUAGAGCUAGUAUUCUACUUAUGCAUGAUUCAAAAUGUUUAGUGUUAUGUAGUUAUUACCAGUAAAUUGAGAUAUGCAUUUAUACAUAAUGAAGCAAUAGGAACUAAUAUACCAAUAGCUUGAACUUACUGCUUUGAUUCUCAAAUUUUGUUUUUAGAGAAUGCACUGCCUCUGUAGAGAAAGAGGCAGAAUGUACAAAUAGGGACAGAAGCAUGGCACCAAAACUGCAUAUCAGGAACAAGGAUCAGCAGAACUCACCUUUUUAACCUCUUGCCUGGUUCACACUAGUGCCCUGAGCAUGUAAAAAAGCAGGGCCUGAACCGAGCGUGUUUAGUGGCAAGGUGAGGUUUCUCAGCUGCUGCAAUUGUAGCAAACAGAAGGGUGCAGAGUUUCUCACAGAGUGUUGGGAGGGCAAAAGUAGAAUUAAGUUGGUCAACUUAAAGAACUGACCUCAAAGUUAAGCAACUGUAGAAUUUGCCAGACAAUAGGUGCAAGAGGUCUCGGCCUGAUAUGGUAAAUUCUUUGGAGGUGAUUAAAAUCAAUAAGCACAGUGCACAUAUUUCAGGUGUUGAAUAGCUUUUUAAUAGACAGUAUUUUCAGGUAACUCUUUAGCCACAUAGGCAGCUGUACUGAAGCAUACUGGUAUCAACCAGCAAUAAUGGCAUCCUGCAGGAAUGAACCUGAAAAUAUUGGCAAAUUUGUGUAUUUUAAGUUUUGACCAAGAUUUUUUUUACGGUUCUAAAAUGAGGUUGGCUCAAGGUGGGGUGAUGAGUGUCCUAAUCUUCAACAACAGAUUAUAGUCUGGUCAGUCAUAAUGUCAUUCGUUAAAAAAAAAAAUGUAGUGAUCUCUAGCUUCCUAACAUAAGGGAAAUUGGGUGCCAUCUGUUUGUUCACUAUGUUCUCUGCAAAGAGUAUUUCUCCCAAGUCACUUUGUGGGUGGUGUGGAGAUUUUCUGUUGAGAAUGAAAAAAAAGUCCAUGGUAGCUGUAGCAGAAUCCAGAACUAAUAAUGUUCCUAAGCUUUUUAGUUCAUUUUGCAGUAUUUCUCACUUUUAGUUUAUAGCUCCAUCUAACCUUGUGGGAGGAUUUAACUUGUGCAAGAAUCCCUCCAUGGAACUGAGGUUUCCUCCUCUUUCCUCACAAAAACUGGGGCAGGAGGAAUGGAUUCCAGGUCAGAUUUAUGUUUGCCUGCACCCUUAGCUGGCAUAAUGCAAGUCUCCACAACACCCCUUUAAUGCAGGGUUGAUGAGGGAACCUUCUUUUUCUCAUUGUCACUUUGUUUAUAGACGCACAGUAGUUGCCAAAUGAAGGUAGGAAUAUUAAGGGAUGACUUGGAUAUUUUACAGUAUCUGAAGAUGGAUGAAGUAUAUCCUUUGAGCCAACUUCUUUAGGCAAAAAGUGAUUAUUAAAACAUGUUAAGCCAGUGGUUGACUGUGCCACUAUAACCUUUAGGACUUUUCAGUUUUAAAUUCUGUUUUAGUAUAUUGUUUUAAUGGAAAGGUAAGAAGUUGAGUAUGUACUUAAACUUGCUUAUUUCCUUUCUAAACAAAAGGGAGGAAUAGGCUACUCAAGGACUUCAAUGCAAAUAUAUUUUGUGAGGAGCAGAAAUUUUGAAGUUUGGCCUUCAGCUCUAAUGUCAAUGGGAUAACAUAGAAUCCUUGAAAGAAAAUUUAAAUUUAUCCUAAGGCUUAGAAACCAGGUUAGAGAGGAUUUCCUGUACUGAACUUCUGAUGGUAUACUCACAUUUCUACUGUACUCAACUGCCAAGUGCAGGAAAUAUCAGUGGAGGAAUUUAGUGGUAACACUGGAAACCAUUUACUCCCAUUGCAUGGUGUAUUUUACAUGGUAAGAGUAAAACAAUUUCUCCCUCUGUGUACUGAAGUUUUCCAAAAGGCAGCUUGUUUUUUAUAUCUAUGCAUCUUUGGGAUUUCAAGAAGAAUCUAUUCUUUUUGACAUUGUAUAGAGGAACUGUUUCAAAUGAACUUGGAAACUCUGCACCUGUAAACAAAUUUUUUUAGCAAUAAAGCAGCACGGGCUGAGAAUGCACUAAAA